CUAGAUGACAAGCUGACUCAUUCAAGCGUCCAAGGUUUGUUGGUGAAUCGAGUUCGUAAUUGAUUCUCCAUUCCUUUAAGAAUAUGGCUUCGACGUCCCAUCUUGUCAUUAACGAAGAGCCAGGGAUCACGAGACCAUGGCCAUUUAAGAAACCGAAGAACAGAUUGUUGAAUGAAAAAAUGUUUCUUCGCCGUGCGCUAAAAUGCUUCUUUCCUUCGGUUUGUGCUUUUGGCAUCUUCAUGUUUCUGAUCGUGUACUUUGCUAACAACAUUGAAUCUUGUGUGCUUUAUAUCAAUGGGACUCGGAAGGUUACGCUCGGAAAAAAAUUUGAUUGCACUUCAGUGCAACUGAAGUAUGCGAACCAAACUGAUCACGAAGUACGACCUGAAAAAAAAUUCCCACGUUUCAUUGGGCCGAUAGCGAUCGUCGGUUUUUUUGUGUCAUUCCAGUCAUUCCCAUGGAAGUCUUGUGGAACGACUUGGAAAGCCAACCAUUCCAAAAACCUGCGACACUGAACAUCUUCCAAUAAAAUCAUUACUAAGUACUGACUUUGAUGUGAUGUUAACACCCCAAACAAUCCUAGCAGCAGCGACUGAAGAUCCCAAGACAAGUCAAGCUCAAACGCUCUUCGACGUCGUUUCCUUGCCAAAUACACCUGGGUUCGUGUGGUUGAAGCUGAACCAAAAUUAUAAGGAAUCGAGUGACAAGUUUUGGAGGGAUCUUUGUGUUGAGUAUACUUUUGCUGAUGGUUCAAAAGGAUUAUAUCUUUCCUCCUUCGAGGUGCGAAACGUAUUUGUGAAAGGGAUGAAACGAAUCAAGCGGAAAGUGACAGGAUAUUUUGGUUUCUAUAAAAAGAUCGCAGAAAAAGGCGUCGCCUUCCAUGUCAAAGCUCAGGGCCCGGCCGUUACUGUAAAAGUAGAGCGUAGACAGAAUCUUUACGGGCCAAUAAGGUUUAAGAGCCUUCGUCCAACUUUAUUCUAUGGUGAUUUUAUCUUCGCGAUAAAAUGCAUUUAAUGGCCACAGGAAGCCCGCAAAUGGCCUUCAUGCGAGGAGCGAUUUUGGCCACCACAAGCGGUGGUUGACGAAAUCAUGAC
This 1094-nucleotide unclassified non-coding RNA is filed under the name Actinia tenebrosa (Australian red waratah sea anemone). Its description in RNAcentral is "protein mab-21-like 3, transcript variant X3". The record is from RNAcentral. Lineage: Eukaryota; Metazoa; Cnidaria; Anthozoa; Actiniaria; Actiniidae.